GACGAACGCUGGCGGCGUGCUUAACACAUGCAAGUCGAACGGAAAGGCCCUGCUUUUGUGGGGUGCUCGAGUGGCGAACGGGUGAGUAACACGUGAGUAACCUGCCCUUGACUUUGGGAUAACUUCAGGAAACUGGGGCUAAUACCGGAUAGGAGCUCUUGCUGCAUGGUGGGGGUUGGAAAGUUUCGGCGGUUGGGGAUGGACUCGCGGCUUAUCAGCCUGUUGGUGGGGUAGUGGCUUACCAAGGCUUUGACGGGUAGCCGGCCUGAGAGGGUGACCGGCCACAUUGGGACUGAGAUACGGCCCAGACUCCUACGGGAGGCAGCAGUGGGGAAUAUUGCACAAUGGGCGGAAGCCUGAUGCAGCAACGCCGCGUGCGGGAUGACGGCCUUCGGGUUGUAAACCGCUUUCGCCUGUGACGAAGCGUGAGUGACGGUAAUGGGUAAAGAAGCACCGGCUAACUACGUG
Molecule: ribosomal RNA, 468 nt
Filed under: uncultured bacterium
Lineage: Bacteria
Description: partial 16S ribosomal RNA
Rfam family: Bacterial small subunit ribosomal RNA
Source: RNAcentral